This 697-nucleotide unclassified non-coding RNA is filed under the name Hevea brasiliensis (rubber tree). The record is from RNAcentral. Lineage: Eukaryota; Viridiplantae; Streptophyta; Magnoliopsida; Malpighiales; Euphorbiaceae.
GGAUAUGCCUUUCAGGAGAUAAAGUGAAGGAAUGAUGGUGUAGUAUAGGGUUGCUAGGCAGUUUGGAGCCCAGAGACAAUAGCAGCAAUAGCAAAGUUGAAGCCCAAGGGAAAUACUUCCAUAUCCAUACCAUGCAGGGCUAUACUUGGAAAGCAAAAUCUGGAAAUCACCUUCGGACCAUCUUUUAUGCUGCACUAGCGUCUGAGGCAGGGUGGUUGCUGUAACCCCUAAGAAUGCUUUCCUUUCUGGAUUGAAAUAAGCUGAUUUCCAACCUUUGCAUUGGAUUGACAACCCUGUAAUUACAUCCUCCACUGGACAUCCGUAUUUCAGUCCCAUCUCAUUUCCCCAUUGAGUGUUUUGCUCAUAAGUACAGCUUGCAAGAGGCCUUGUUUCUUCUUCUAAUUCUUGUGCACUCUGUAGUCUCUUCUGAUCAUCAUCUCUCUUCCAUUCAAUUUUACAAUCCUGUGUGAAUUUCCUUCCACAGAGAGUAUCCCUCCUGUGAAAGCACCCAGUUCCAACAUACAGAGGGCCCCCAAAACCAUCCGCCCCAUGAAAUUCCACAUUGCUAAUUACUCGCAACGAAUCAUACAGUUCAUUCUUAGUAACAUUUUCGAAACACUGUGGGAAUUGAACAAAAGCAAUUUCAUGGCCGUUUUCUUCAUCCAUGAAGAAGCAGAGAGCAUCCAGGAGGGAUUGU